This 223-nucleotide ribosomal RNA is filed under the name Cyclophora tenuis. RNAcentral describes it as "partial Bacterial small subunit ribosomal RNA". It matches the Rfam family "Bacterial small subunit ribosomal RNA", at positions 41 to 263 of the family's 1533-position model. The record is from RNAcentral. Lineage: Eukaryota; Bacillariophyta; Fragilariophyceae; Cyclophorales; Cyclophoraceae.
GGCGUGGAUUAGGCAUGCAAGUCGGACGAGAAGCUUCCUUCGGGAAGUGGAAAGUGGCAAACGGGGUAGUAAGGCGUAGGUGACGUACCCUCAAGUCCGGGAUAGCCACGGGAAACCGUGAUUAAUACCGGAUAAUCUCUCAGAGUAUGGUGCUUUGAGAGCAAAGGUGUGAUUCCGCUGGAGGAGCGGCUUACGUGAUAUUAGGUAGUUGGUGAGGUAACGG